GUCGGGAAUAUUGCACAAUGGAGGAAACUCUGAUGCGGUGACGCCGCGUAUAGGAAGAAGGUCUUAGGAUUGUAAGCUAUUGUUAUGUGGGAUGAAGAAGACAGUACCACAUGAGAAAGCCCUGGCUAAAUAUGUGCCAGCAGCCGCGGUAAUACAUAUGGGGCGAGCGUUGUCCGAAUUUAUUGGGUGUAAAGGGUGCGUAGGCGGAUGGUCAAGUUGGUUGUGAAAUCCCACGGCUUAACUGUGGAACUGCAACCAAAACUAACCAUCUAGAGUACUGGAGAGGAAAGCGGAAUUUCUAGUGUAGCGGUGAAAUGCGUAGAUAUUAGAAGGAACACCAAUGGCGAAGGCAGCUUUCUGGACAGAGACUGACGCUGAGGCACGAAAGCGUGGGUAGCAAACAGGA
Molecule: ribosomal RNA, 406 nt
Filed under: uncultured bacterium
Lineage: Bacteria
Description: bacterial SSU rRNA
Rfam family: Bacterial small subunit ribosomal RNA
Source: RNAcentral